CUUUUUUUCUGUUUUGAAUAUUCACUUUAAAAAUAAGGGCUGUAUUCUACUUGUUUAUGCAAGACAUUAUGUUUUAAUGUAACAAAAUAUAAGCUAAAAUGUGUCUGAAAAACAGGUCUCUGAAUAUAGAAAUUGAACAUUGGAUGGAGGCCUUCUAAGUCAUAGUGUACCUAUAUUGCCUUUAAGGCAGCAUAAAGAAAGUGCAUUUUGAUAUAUAUCUUUAAUAUUCUUUUUAUUGAAGUGAGAGACAGUAUAAGAAAGUAACUUCUAGUUUCUUGGAACAAUGUAUUCCCAGAUUAUUCUAUGUGUAGACAUCCUUGUUACUUUUAACAUUCCCUUUACACCAAUAACCCUUUACUUGGAACCAUAAAACAAAUAUUCAAAAUCGUAGAGGAGAGAAAAUGCACAUGUUGCCAUGUUUUAAUUAAAUAUUUAUUUCAUUUUCACAAGUUAAUAUUUUUUAGAAUUAGUGUAGUUACAGUGUAUUUCUGAAAAUAGAAGUUAUACGAUUUAAUAAUUAUGUAGAAAUAGAUCUGAAAUAAAUCUUUAUAUAUAAACUUUUUGUAGACUCUAACUCUAAAGUUCUCUUUUGCCCAGGAAAAGAGCAGGACACAGGAUGAAAAGCAAGAGAUGGCUAAUGUCUGCAAAAUACAAGAGCCCUGAAUAACCAUCCUUGCCGGUAUUUACUAAGAUCAGAAGGCUUACAAAUGUGAUAGGUGAAUAAACAAAGGAGAGAUUGGCCUUUUUGAAGGAAGCACACUUUGCUUCAAGUAAUGCAAGAGUGGCUAAAGGGCUGGCUAGAUGCAAAGGAGAAGAUUGUGGAUCGGAAGAAGUAUCAGAGGAAGGCAUAUGAUUCACAUUUCAGUAUAGACCCAACUGAUGAAAAUAUUCAAAUCUAUAAAAAAUGGUCAUCUAAAGUAUUUUACUGAAAAAUAUGUUCUUCAUAAUAAGUUAGGUAGAAUGACCACUCUGUAGAUGUCAGUUGUCUAUCUUCUCUCUACAACACAGUAUGACAGUGUGUUGUUUACUGCGCUCAUACACAAAGAAGGAAUAGGGUAAGACUGAGGGUCAUUCAUAGUCUGGGAAGCACAGACAUUCCCUAAUCAAGACCUCCAUUUUGAGCCCUCAAUUCUCUUAAAACAGCAACCAACCCCAUUUCUUGCUUUCUGGGAACAAAUAACUUUAGUACCAUCACAUCAUGUUUUGGCCAGCAAUUCAGUCUUACAAAAUAAUGACUUAAAGGCCUCAACAAGUACAAAAAGAUUGAGAUCAUAUCAUGUAUAUUUUCUGAGCACAAUACUAUGAAAGUUGAAAUCAACCACAAGAAAAAAUUGGAAAGAUCACAAAUACAUAGAAGUUAAAGAAAAUCUUACUAAAAAAUAAAUGGGUCAAUCAGGAAGUUAAAGAAGAAAUU
Molecule: long non-coding RNA, 1414 nt
Filed under: Felis catus (domestic cat)
Lineage: Eukaryota; Metazoa; Chordata; Mammalia; Carnivora; Felidae
Description: lncRNA (ENSFCAG00000042443.2)
Source: RNAcentral